Molecule: small nucleolar RNA, 63 nt
Organism: Athene cunicularia (burrowing owl)
Lineage: Eukaryota; Metazoa; Chordata; Aves; Strigiformes; Strigidae
Product: small nucleolar RNA Z39
Source: Ensembl
GUACAGAUGAUGAGCAUUUCAGUAUGACUACCAGAAAUGAUACUGUAAACGCUUUCUGAUGUG